AACGAACGCUGGCGGCAUGCCUAACACAUGCAAGUCGAACGAGACCUUCGGGUCUAGUGGCGCACGGGUGCGUAACGCGUGGGAACCUGCCCUUAGGUUCGGAAUAACUCCCCGAAAGGGGUGCUGAUACCGGAUAAUGUCUUCGGACCAAAGAUUUAUCGCCUUUGGAUGGGCCCGCGUUGGAUUAGCUAGUUGGUAGGGUAAAAGCCUACCAAGGCGACGAUCCAUAGCUGGUCUGAGAGGAUGAUCAGCCACACUGGGACUGAGACACGGCCCAGACUCCUACGGGAGGCAGCAGUGGGGAAUAUUGGACAAUGGGCGAAAGCCUGAUCCAGCAAUGCCGCGUGAGUGAUGAAGGCCUUAGGGUUGUAAAGCUCUUUUACCCGGGAUAAUAAUGACAGUACCGGGAGAAUAAGCUCCGGCUAACUCCGUG
This 433-nucleotide ribosomal RNA is filed under the name uncultured bacterium. Its description in RNAcentral is "partial 16S ribosomal RNA". It matches the Rfam family "Bacterial small subunit ribosomal RNA", at positions 29 to 507 of the family's 1533-position model. The record is from RNAcentral.